UGAAUGCCCCAACUCUCCUAGCUCUAUGUUACGAUCCCCCUCCUCGUUAAGUAAGUCUCGAAAGUACGCCUGCCACCUCUGCUUGACUUGAAACUCCCUCAUCAGAACUCAACCAUCCUCGCCCUUGAUGCACCUAACUUGGUCAAGAUCGCACGCCUUCCUUUCCCUUGCUUUAGCUAACCGAAAUAACUUCUGGUACCCGCCUUUCUCCCCUAAUUCCUCGUACAUGCGACCAAACGCCGCAUUUUUAGCUUCCGUAACCGCCAGCUUUGCUUCUUUCCUCGCCACCUUGU
Molecule: long non-coding RNA, 293 nt
Filed under: Nicotiana benthamiana
Lineage: Eukaryota; Viridiplantae; Streptophyta; Magnoliopsida; Solanales; Solanaceae
Description: long non-coding RNA (NBEN_LNC009211)
Source: RNAcentral